AGCUGAGGAGGCAAACUGCUCCAAAAGUAAAUGCCGCCUGGGGACUUGGCUGGGAGUUAGACAGACGUGUUGCAGAGCCAAAGUGUAAAUCUAAAAUUUUGAAAUAAAUUUCAGAAUUUUCCUCAGAAAAGCUUGGCUACCAGGAGGUCUGACUGUAAUGCCAAUGCCAGAAGAGGCAGAAAAAACUGGACUGAACUUCAACAAGAAAGAUGCUCCCUGAUUGCCAAUGAUUGACAAGCCUGGCUUCAGUCCCACACCUUCAACACAACAGAACAGCUAUGAGAAAAAGGCACCUACUACUAAAAAAUACAGAAGUUCAGUGGGUGAUGUAAAAAUCCCCAUGCAAGACAUGAUAAACACUAACGCAAUUAGCUGGACCACCUGCCCCAUUCCACCUACUUGCCUGAUGCAACAGGAGACACCACCACAUCAACAACAACUACAAAUCUGAAUCAAGACCCAGACUAAUAAGAUGCCCUUCCACAAACUUCCAAUUAUGCUUAUUUUUGGCUACUGAAUAAGACAAACUUCCUUCUAGCACCCUAUUAGUUUCUCUCAGAAACUAUUUAAAACUAGAAUAUAGAAAAGCUUCCCUUAAAAAAAAAAUACACACCAAAACAAAUUACAGAAAAUCAUGUGCUCUUCAACCAGACUGACAUAGGGGAAAUACAGACAUUCCUUUGCAAAAAAGGACUUCUAUUUUGUGGCAAAACUGAAUAUAUAACUUAUGUUUUCUACUAUGUAAACCUUAAUCACUAUACAUAAUGCCUAAGCAUAUUUGAGGUUUUAUGUUAUCCGGGGAACAGAAAAAAAUAACCAACAAAAACCAGACAUUCCUUGCUUCAAGAUGGAAGUACCUAUUACUGCUUUAAGAGGAAACCAUUAAAGAUGUUUGAAAACUUUUGUCUUGAAACUGUUCCCAUUAAAAAAAAAAAAAAUUAGCACAGCUACACCAACUUGUUUGCAAAAAAAGGGGAAUAGAACAGAAAAAUACAAGCAUGUAAGACAAGUAUAGGGUCUUCUAUUUACCACUUAUGGUAAAAAUAUGGUUACUACUGCAGUUCAUAUUCCUACCCAGUUAUUGUUAGUAUCAGUGAAAAGACUUCCAAUGCUUUAGGGUUUAUAAAUCUGAAUCAGGAUUCAGAUUUUAAUUCAGAUUUUUUUAAUAUUUUAAAGUACAGAUCUUUAAGAAUUUGCAUACUUUCACUGAUUUUAGUGCAAAUCUAUGACAAGCAUUACAAUUCCACAUAAGAAUUCUGAUAACCAGGAGACAUAGUGAAUUAUUUCUUUAACAAAAGAAUGUAAAUAAUACUCAAAUUAGGCUGAGCACUGUCAAAUUCAAUGGCUAUUCUGUUGUGGGCUACCUAAUGUAAGACUACGUACUGUAUUUUCAAUACUUUCUAGAGAAUCUAUAUGUUUAAUGCUAUCUAGAUUUAUGCAAGAAGUACUUA
This 1451-nucleotide long non-coding RNA is filed under the name Parus major (Great Tit). RNAcentral's name for it is "lncRNA (ENSPMJG00000018043.1)". The record is from RNAcentral. Lineage: Eukaryota; Metazoa; Chordata; Aves; Passeriformes; Paridae.